UUCAUCUAAAUCCAAUCAAGUUGUUCCUUUAAUAUCCACCUAGAAAGAGCCAUCACAGAUUUCUAAGUGAAAAAACUUGCAGAAAAGGCAAUGCAUCACUUCAAAAGAAAGAGAAGGCAUUCAAUUCAUCACAGAUAUCAAACAAUUUCUCUCGGAGUUCUUUCAUUCCUCUACCCCGUGUCAUUGCAUUGUCCAAAUUCUGGCCUACAAAAGGAGGAGAAUUGAGUACGAUCCCCUUGCUUUAAAAGAAAUAAUAAUAAUAAUUAGGGACCUAGAAUAUUUAUUUAUUUAUUUAAAAAAAAAACCUUUCUCCAUAAUUUCAUCAACUCACACUUCUCAAACCUGCGAACCUCAAGCAAUUGAAUACGAUCCUCUUGCUCCGUGUUCUCAGCAUAAAGUGAGCACAAAUAAAGACGACCGGCGCUCGGCAAAGCACGAACCAGCAUAACAAGUCGGCUAGAAAUCGUAAAAUCCACAAAUCAAAGUGACAUCGCGAAGUCGUACAUGAAGAUUGCCUAUGUCGAGAGCGACGUGAGAAGUCACCAUAGAGUAUUGUUUAAAAAGGGGCAAAAAUGAAAUUAUGUUUGAUAAAUGAGGGUGGGACGGGAAAUUUUGGCACUUUCAUUUAAUAAAGAUAAAAUAUUCCAAAAAUGCUACUUCUUAAGACACCUCCAAACUAGGGGUGAGCGGUUCCCGGUUCUGGUUCGGUUCCGUCCGAAACCUGGAACCUACCAUUGGGUACAGGUUCCUCAAUUUUUGGAACCUGAAACCUACCUUAUCACAUGUUCCAGGGUCGGUUCCAGGUUCCAACAUGUUCUUUUUUUUUUUUUUUCAUUUUCGUAGUGGGCGCUAAUAUCCGGAAGCCGAAAUAAUUCAAUAGUUGGCCCUCCAUUUUCAGUACCUACCAAUACACAACAAUGUGAAUCUUUUACAUCCGAAUAGACAACUAAAUUCAUAGUUUUCUAGAGAAAACAUUGUCUAAUGUAUAAUUUGGUGAUUCCUUAUGGUUAAUGUGUUUCAUAAUAAUAACUACGGGCAUGUUGUAUGAGCAUAGGCUCUUGGCAUUUCGCUCUUGAUUUGAGUGGGCAAGAAGUAGGUGCCACGUCGUUGCUAUGCGCUCUUUGCAGAAAGUUACGGCAACAUGCUCAGAUACACAAAGUACAAGCUCAAUAUAGCUUGCCAUGGCGUGCGGUCGGCAAAUGCAAGGACAAAACUAUGAGGAUUGCAUCAAAGAUCGGCAGGAUAUAUUUCAAGUCCAGAUGAUGUUAUGAAACCUCCUUUCCUGCACAAAGAGCGGUUUAUUGUUACCGCCCUAAACCUGCAUGAAGAGAGACUGACUUUUCAGUUGUCAUUCUGAAAAUAAUAAGUAGCAUCACUGAGAGAACAACUUUGAAAGCUAAAACUCAACAAGAGCAUGCGUAUGAUGCUUCAGUAAAUGUAUCUAUCCCGGGACAAGCAAACAGUUGCAAAUCCGUUCAUUGUGCCGUAAACUAGCAGAAGAAGUGCAAAAUCAUCGUUUUCUUAGUUUGAUGCAUGAGAUUUACCAAUUACAACAAAAUGACAGCUUGGACUGCAUGUACUGCAAACUGCCUCAACAGAAGGAUUCAGCUUGUCUACUGGGUUUAGCAUUUAACUAAAGAAUCAAUCGGCUGAUAAUUUCUUUCCCAUUUCAGGCCGGCAAAAGAAGAUGGUCACAUCAAUAUCAGCUAAAGAUUCUUCACCCCAAAUGGGCAGUGUUGAGUAGAGUGGCAAAUAAUAUAGAUACAGUGCCAAGUAUUUCAGGCACAUUGGCUAUUCCUUCAGUAGACAAUAACAUAUACAAUCCUAUGGAAAUAUAGCAGAUAAAUAACAAUUUGUUCCAACAAGAUCUAGAAUAUGGCUAAGCUGCACCCUACAAUACGAUUGCUAUCGUAUUUUGUCAUUGAACAGAAGAAAAAGAAUUCUCUUCCCUACAAAGACAACACCAAACUAACCGGUUAAGCAGCAGCAUGCCCAGUCUAGCAACAUAGUGCUGUUGCUCUGCAGCAGUUAGACCUACUCCACAUAAAUAAUGUCUCCAUCAGGAUCCUCGCCUUCCCAAUCGCUUUCAUGUUGAGGAUGAUCCGAUGCCUCAACCACGUCGGCGGUGGCGGUUCGGAGCAACGACGGCCCGGACGGCCGAGCGAGCAGCGGCAAGAGGUGGUGAUGGUGGCUUGGGGACGGCGGCGGUGGCUCACGGCGGCGAGGGGCGGCAUGGAUGGCGUGACAGCUCGUCGGGCUCAACGGCAAGACGGCUCGUCGGACGAGCGGUGGGUGGUGGGUGGUGGUGGUUCGGUGGCCAAGAGGUGGUGGUGAGUAGGGCGUGGGGCGGCGGUGUGGUGGUGGGUGAAGCAGCAACCAGCAAGAGGAAGGAACAAGAAGAAGAAGAGAAGAAGGGGUGGGGUUUCGGCCGAGAGAGGGGGAAAGAGAAGAGAAAGAGAGAGAAGAAAAGAAAAAAAGUAGGGGGGCAGGAAGUGACGUGAG
This 2502-nucleotide long non-coding RNA is filed under the name Eucalyptus grandis. RNAcentral describes it as "long non-coding RNA (EGRA_LNC006073)". The record is from RNAcentral. Lineage: Eukaryota; Viridiplantae; Streptophyta; Magnoliopsida; Myrtales; Myrtaceae.